AGACUGCACUUCCUUAGGAGAGGAGCAUUGUUCUGUCUCACCAGGUCCAUUUAGUAUUAAGCCCAGGGUAAUAAACUGCUGCAUGGGUCAAAGUGGUUUUCCCCAGAUAGGAGGAUAUAUGGACAAGCAGAUGCUGUCCUCAGCUGUGUGAAAACUCCCAUCUCCCCACACAACCCUGCUGUAAAAUCUGCCUUUUCACUCUUCUGGGGUACUUUCCUCAGCAUCAUUAGUGAUCCCCCACCACUGAAUUUUGAAGAAGGCUUGAAAGAUGAAAAAACCCUUUGGCACAAAUCUGUGCUGGGCUUCUGCCAUCAGCUGAUCUGCAACAGUUUGGCAUAACCUCCUUCUUUACACGACUGGGUCCUAGGGUAGCUUUGAUCAAUUUUUUAAAAGUUGGAAAA
Cyanistes caeruleus (blue tit) is the source of this 401-nucleotide long non-coding RNA. RefSeq lists it as uncharacterized. The record is from RefSeq and is a predicted model, not a curated record. NCBI's taxonomy places the organism in Eukaryota, Metazoa, Chordata, Aves, Passeriformes, Paridae.